UGGAGCAUGUGGUUUAAUUCGAAGCAACGCGAAGAACCUUACCAGGUCUUGACAUCCCGAUGCUAUUUCUAGAGAUAGAAAGUUACUUCGGUACAUCGGUGACAGGUGGUGCAUGGUUGUCGUCAGCUCGUGUCGUGAGAUGUUGGGUUAAGUCCCGCAACGGGCGCAACCCCUAUUGUUAGUUGCCAUCAUUCAGUUGGGCACUCUAGCGAGACUGCCGGUAAUAAACCGGAGGAAGGUGGGAUGACGUCAAAUCAUCAUGCCCCUUAUGACCUGGGCUACACACGUGCUACAGUGGUUGGUACAAUAGGUUGCGAAGCCGCGAGGCGGAGCCAAUCCUCAAAGCCGGCCUCAGUUCAGAUUGCAGGCUGCAACCCGCCUGCAUGAAGAUGGAGUUGCUAGUAACCGCAGGUCAGCUAUACUGCGGUGAAUACGUUCCCGGGUCUU
Molecule: ribosomal RNA, 447 nt
Filed under: uncultured Streptococcus sp.
Lineage: Bacteria; Bacillati; Bacillota; Bacilli; Lactobacillales; Streptococcaceae
Description: bacterial SSU rRNA
Rfam family: Bacterial small subunit ribosomal RNA
Source: RNAcentral